AACGAACGCUGGCGGCAGGCCUAACACAUGCAAGUCGAGCGCCCUUUCGGGGGAGCGGCGGACGGGUGAGUAACGCGUGGGAAUAUGCCCUUCUCUACGGAAUAGCCUCGGGAAACUGAGAGUAAUACCGUAUACGCCCUGUGGGGGAAAGAUUUAUCGGGGAAGGAUUAGCCCGCGUUGGAUUAGGUAGUUGGUGGGGUAAUGGCCUACCAAGCCGACGAUCCAUAGCUGGUUUGAGAGGAUGAUCAGCCACACUGGGACUGAGACACGGCCCAGACUCCUACGGGGGCAGCAGUGGGGAAUCUUAGACAAUGGGGGCAACCCUGAUCUAGCCAUGCCGCGUGAGUGAUGAAGGCCUUAGGGUUGUAAAGCUCUUUCAGCUGGGAAGAUAAUGACGGUACCAGCAGAAGAAGCCCCGGCUAACUCCGUG
Molecule: ribosomal RNA, 430 nt
Filed under: uncultured bacterium
Lineage: Bacteria
Description: partial 16S ribosomal RNA
Rfam family: Bacterial small subunit ribosomal RNA
Source: RNAcentral